RNAcentral lists this ribosomal RNA (26 nucleotides) under Perkinsus olseni. Its description in RNAcentral is "partial 28S ribosomal RNA". The record is from RNAcentral. Lineage: Eukaryota; Perkinsozoa; Perkinsida; Perkinsidae. RNAcentral also lists the same sequence under 2 other names.
UUAGAAGGCCUGAUGUGUGUGAGAUU